CCGGGGUGCUCCUGUGUCUGCUCCUGCUGCCCCACUGCAGUGCAGAAAUCCCCAUCCUGAUCCCUGGAUCGCCUCCCAGCUGCCUCCUUUCUGAGGGGAUGAAUUUCCUCCCUGGCAGGCCAGGGAGAAGCUGCUGCUCUGCAGCUGAGCCCACUGGCUUGUCAAAGGAAUCUCAAGAGAAAAAGGAAAAAAGGGUGGGAAUGAUGAGGAAUGGCAGCCUGGGAGUGAGCAGCAGUGGUGCUGAGCAGUUCUCACACCUGUGGAAUGAGCUCAGGGCCUGGGGUCACUGCGGGUUGUGGGGGGACACUGUCUGCAAUGUCACCUCCAGGGUCACUGGGGAGCCAGCACAGUGCAGGUUCAGGAAUCCCCUGAUCAAACACAGCUCCCCCUCGGUGCUGAUGCUUUUGGGUGGUGGCAAAGCAGCCCGGUCACCUCCUCCUGCCGUGCUGCACCUGCCACCUUGGCUGUGACAAGAACAUUUCAGACUGGUCCUUACUGGUGCCAGCUACAGCGCACGGGGAGUUCCUGGUGCUCUGAGUUCCCGGGAACGGCUGAUCCCUGCCCCAGCUCUGAUCCGCAUCGCUGCCGUGAUUCCUGUACAGACACCCUCAUUUUAUCCAUUCCCUGGCAGGGAGCUGCAGCUGCUUUCCCAGCGCUGCCAGGGAGCAUUAGAAGAGCUUUGAUUGCUGACCUUGCCCCUGCUUGCCCGAUUUGCUCUUCCCUUGUACUUCCUGACAGCUGCCUCUUUUCCAGCCCGCUCCGCCCGGGGCCGCGCGGUGCCCUCGGGCAGCUCCGCUUUGGUGGGAGCGCGGACGGCUCCGGAAUCGCUGAUGCUCCGGCAGCUCAGCGCUCCUCUUCCCCUGUCCUGCUCAUGGAUCAUCCCCGCGGGCAGCCGGGCAGAGCUCUCCAGGAGCUGCCAGAGCCCUGGCAUUGCCAAACUGAGUCCUGGUCCCUGGGCUGCUCCUCCAACAAAUUCCGGAGCGAGGGGAGCGGUGCCCGGCUCUUCCCGGCCUCUCCGGGGUGCAGGAUAGCGGUGGCUGCGGAAGAGAGGGGGAAUUUCAUCAAUAAAAGACGCGAUUUUGCCUCCCCCGCUCUCCUCCCUCAUGCCUGGCGUUUGAAAGGCAGGAUUGAGAGCUCGCAGCUCGGGGGCUGCUGCAGAUGUGGAGCGGGGCCGCUCCCCGGGAGUGCUUCCAGCAGCAGAAUUCCGAUGGGAGGAAAUGGGCCGGCGACACCCCGCAGACAAUGCUCCAUUGCAAGUCUCCUCUGCAGAUGUGCUUCCUCCUCAUCAGCACUCGCGAUCCGCAUUGAGGCUCCUUCCCUCCUGCCCCGCGCUCUAAAGGGGCUGAGAUUUCAUCUUGGGUUUCUUCCCAGAAGGAUGAAAGAAAGGAGUGAAAGGGAAGAAAGGGAAAGCAGCCGCUCUGGGUGGGACUGGCUCCCGAU
RNAcentral lists this long non-coding RNA (1440 nucleotides) under Chloebia gouldiae (Gouldian finch). RNAcentral's name for it is "Erythrura gouldiae (Gouldian finch) lncRNA (ENSEGOG00005008077.1)". The record is from RNAcentral. Lineage: Eukaryota; Metazoa; Chordata; Aves; Passeriformes; Passeridae.